UUUCCUUCAGCUCUCUCUUUCUCUACCCGAGACUUUCUCUCUCAUCCUCCUUGCUGGAAAUUGCCGCCGCCUAACCGCCGCGGUCGCCGGAACCCGGAUUUCAACCAAAGUUUCCAGAUUUUCUUCUCUUCCUACCCUCUUUCCAUUUCUCCAACCAAAAUCAAGAAAUUUGGCCAUCCAACCCUCCAAAAACCCUAGAACCUGAAGCUAAAUUGGGGCUUUUUGUGAUUUCUUCUUUCCAAGCUUAAAUCAAGGCUAUGGGUUUGGCAAGGAUUUUUGAUGUUGAUGUUGGACGGAUUUGUAGGUGA
RNAcentral lists this long non-coding RNA (308 nucleotides) under Rosa chinensis. RNAcentral's name for it is "sRNA RchiOBHm_Chr7g0203841". Lineage: Eukaryota; Viridiplantae; Streptophyta; Magnoliopsida; Rosales; Rosaceae. The record is from RNAcentral.